RNAcentral lists this long non-coding RNA (1324 nucleotides) under Felis catus (domestic cat). Its description in RNAcentral is "lncRNA (ENSFCAG00000048006.1)". The record is from RNAcentral. Lineage: Eukaryota; Metazoa; Chordata; Mammalia; Carnivora; Felidae.
AUGGCCAAAUGUGGUAUGACAAAGACACCCAGAGGGUUCAUCAGAACGGCAAAAGUCAUCUUCUCUGGGCACUUUGCACAAUAUGGAUUUGACUCCUCCCUACCCCCCAAAUCUGGAUUAACCCCCCUCCCUCUGUGGCAAAGCCAAACUCCUCAGUGUAAGCUUCAGGUCCCCUCACACUCCCGCUCACCGCCAGGCCUCGCCAGCACCGUGGUGACUCCAGAACCUUCCCAUCGGGCCUUUCUGCUUCCCAGGCUGGGAGAAGAGAGUGUCCAGGGGAGGGUGGGGUGGAGGGAAGACUAUACUCUAAACGUCUUCUUCUUCUUUCUCUUCUGCUGCUGCCUGCUACCUCAUGCUCUUCCCUCUUUCUGUCUCUCGGAAGUUGUGCUGAGAGAGAAAACAAUCCUGACCAGAGGAGGGAUCCAGCCCGGGCUGGUGUUAGUGGAGUGUGUGUGUGUGUGGUGUGUGUGUGUGUGUGUGUGUGUCUCAGGAGGCUGGAACCACAGCUCCUCCUCCUGAACCUCAGAGGCGGGCCAACCCCUGAUCUGCGUUGCCAUGGCGACCCACCUAAGCCUCUUUCACCUGGAGCUGUAUUAUCCGUAGAGGGAGCCCGCCUGACCUGCCACAGAUGCCUGGGAAGACCCAGGUGGUGACAGGGCACCUGUGUCCAGAUGGCAUUCCUUACUGCGUUCUGGCUGGCGCACCUGCUGGGGACAGAUGAUUCCAUCUUGGCGAAGCUUCCCUCUUCCCACGUGCUGCCCUCCACCAGGAGAGGGGACGUUCUGGGGGCUGUCCCUGAAGAGCCAUGUCUUCGCCUUUGCCUCACCACCUGUCCUCCUCUUUGCUAAUUGAAAUUCUCUCUUUCCCUCAAGCAAGCUCAAGGGCAGGAAGUUCUGCUGACUUUCUCAAGGAGAGGUGAGGCUGAGAAAUAAUCUGGGGAGAAGAGGGAACAUGGAUCAUGGGGAUGGAUUUUGAGGUAUUUGAGGUAAAUGCGGGACUGGCAGGAGUCUUCUGUUGCCUUUCUCCCGUAUCUGAUACUUGCGUCUGAGCCUCCCGUCUGUGUCCAGGCUCUGGACGCUUUAUCGCUUGCAGACUAUUUUGUUUAGGGGCCCAGUGUAUCCAGGCUGUGCACCCCCCCCCCAGACAUUAGUGGGCACAGACACGCAGGCAUGUCACCCUGUGAGCGGCAUCGACCUCCAGUGAUGGGCACCGAGCUGCGUUAUAAUAGAUCUCAGGUGAUGCUGUGCCAGGUACCAGCUGAUGGAGUGCCUUCUGGACACAUCUAGUCCUAACUGUGUUGAAAAUAAAGCAGAAUGCAUAGCCA